GGAGGAGCAAGAUGGAAUCACAAACUCAGGCCCUCAUAUCCCUGCUGCUCUGGGUAUAUGGUACCUGUGGGGACAUUGUGAUGACCCAGUCUCCAUCCUCCCUGGCUGUGUCAGAAGGAGAGAUGGUCACUAUAAACUGCAAGUCCAGUCAGAGUCUUUUAUCCAGUGGAAACCAAAAGAACUACUUGGCCUGGUACCAGCAGAAACCAGGGCAGUCUCCUAAACUACUGAUCUACUAUGCAUCCACUAGGCAAUCAGGGGUCCCUGAUCGCUUCAUAGGCAGUGGAUCUGGGACAGACUUCACUCUGACCAUCAGCGGUGUGCAGGCUGAAGACCUGGCAGAUUAUUACUGCCUGCAGCAUUACAGCUAUCCUCCCACAAUGCCUCAAGGGACAUUUAUAGAUUUGGAGCAAAGAUACUCAGUAAAUUCUUCUUCAAAUCAUGAGGAAACCAUACCACUUAACUCUUAA
Molecule: non-coding RNA, 470 nt
Organism: Rattus rattus (black rat)
Lineage: Eukaryota; Metazoa; Chordata; Mammalia; Rodentia; Muridae
Source: the annotation of a RefSeq genome assembly